This 675-nucleotide long non-coding RNA is filed under the name Cyanistes caeruleus (blue tit). RNAcentral's name for it is "lncRNA (ENSCCEG00000008477.1)". The record is from RNAcentral. Lineage: Eukaryota; Metazoa; Chordata; Aves; Passeriformes; Paridae.
AUUGAGGUGGCCCCAGGGUAGGAAAUUGGCUCAGAUGAGAUGCAGGUGAGGGCAAUUAACUGUUGGGACAAUUAAAAACAGCUGGGAAGUUCCCAGCCUUCAGUUCCCUGUGGGCUCUUGAGAAGAAAGCAUGCAGUAUAUCGGUUAUUUGAUUUCUCUGGAACUCUUUGGUUGCCAUCUUCUGUGCCUUCCCAAACUCCUCCUCAUUUUGGAUCAUCCAAACAAGCAAAUGGGAAGUUGCAGGAGAUAAUUACAGAACAAAUAAUGAGCCUUGUCAGCAUUAGCCACCCCGAAGUGAGAAGCACAAAAUGUGCCAGAGGAUUCAUGGACCUUCAUUUGGAAGCUGAGAAGACAGAGGGCUAUAAGAAACUCUGGAAGAAGAAGUUUCCAGAGAAUAAGAAACUGCUUAUUCUGGAUCUUCUGUGCUCUCCUUGUUAGGCAGAGAAUCCCCCUGCUGGGGCUGGGUGGCAAAAGCCCAGUGUGGAUUUGCCACCUUGACAGUCUGUGACAGCAUCCGUCACCUUGCCGAUGCUAGGAACCGUCUUUGGGAGGAGAGCCAGGCAUUGAUUUGUUUCUGCAGCUCUGCUGUUCACUGGCAGCCCUGUGGGCUUUGGGGAACAGCAGAGCACGGUUUGUUUCUGGAUGUGCUGGAGCAGAUGCUUUGGUAACGGGGAG